UGCGUAGGCGGCCGUGCAAGUCGGGUGUGAAAUCCCUCGGCUCAACCGAGGAAUUGCGCCCGAAACUGUGCGGCUAGAGGGAGACAGAGGUGAGCGGAACUGGCGGUGGAGCGGUGAAAUGCGUUGAUAUCGCCAGGAACACCAGUGGCGAAGGCGGCUCACUGGGUCUCUUCUGACGCUGAGGCACGAAAGCUAGGGGAGCGAACAGGAUUAGAUACCCUGGUAGUCC
Molecule: ribosomal RNA, 229 nt
Filed under: uncultured bacterium
Lineage: Bacteria
Description: partial 16S ribosomal RNA
Rfam family: Bacterial small subunit ribosomal RNA
Source: RNAcentral